Molecule: ribosomal RNA, 468 nt
Filed under: uncultured bacterium
Lineage: Bacteria
Description: partial 16S ribosomal RNA
Rfam family: Bacterial small subunit ribosomal RNA
Source: RNAcentral
GACGAACGCUGGCGGCGUGCUUAACACAUGCAAGUCGAACGGAAAGGCCCUGCUUUUGUGGGGUGCUCGAGUGGCGAACGGGUGAGUAACACGUGAGUAACCUGCCCUUGACUUUGGGAUAACUUCAGGAAACUGGGGCUAAUACCGGAUAGGAGCUCCUGCUGCAGGGUGGGGGUUGGAAAGCUGCGGCGGAUGGGGAUGGACUGGGGGAUUAUCAGUUUGUGGGUGGGGCAGAGGCUUACCAAGGCUUUGACUGGUAGCCGGCAGGAGAGGGUGACCGGCGACAUUGGGACUGAGGUACGGCCCAGACUCCUACGGUAGGCAGCGGUGGGGAAUAUUGCACAAUGGGCGGAAGCCUGAUGCAGCAGCGCCGCGGGCGGGAUGACGGCCUUCGGGUUGUAAACCGCUUUCGCCUGUUACGAAGCGUGAGUGACGGUAAUGUGUAAAUAAGCACCGGCUAACUACGUG